Non-coding RNA from Manis javanica (Malayan pangolin), 3257 nucleotides. Lineage: Eukaryota; Metazoa; Chordata; Mammalia; Pholidota; Manidae. The record is from RefSeq and is a predicted model, not a curated record.
CAGCAGGAAAGGGACAGAAUUAGAAGCUGCAGUGACCUAAUUGCACUACCAUUGGCAGUGACUGAUUGAUUCUGUGUACACAGCUGCUUCAACCAGAGCAUGGAGAUAAGGUAGGCCUGUGUUGUUAGUGUAAACCUUGUAUCAUUAAAAGUUAAUAUGUGGUUUCCUUUAAACUAAGAGGCUACUCCGCCUCCAACUGGCAGAUGCAACAGAAAAAAAAGAAUAUAUAUGUAUUUUUUAACAUCUAUUAAGAAAGAAAAUUAAUUUACCAACAAUUAACAGUACAUCACAAUAAUGUAUAUUGUACUUAUUACAAGGAAUAUUGUUAGAGCAUUUUAAUAUCUUAUGAUCCUUCUGCCUCAAGAAAGUAGCCACUCAUAUUUUUCAGUUUUCCCUUGUUUAAAAGAAUACAUAUUUUACACAUUAUCAUAUGAUAUUACUGGUAAAUAUAUUGCCCCAUGGCUUAAGUUUAGAAGUUUUGUGUGUGUUUGAAUGUUACUUAUAGUUUGGUGAGAUAAUUUUUUUGCACCCCUCCUAGAACUGUCCAUUACCGCAGACUGGACUGCCAAACUCAUGCCCGCCUGGGCAAAGACGUCUCAGCCCUGCGCAACCUUCUUUUCCAGCAGAUAGCUUUUCAAGAUAAACCAGAUGCUAUGCCAUGAGGAACAGUGAGGAACUAGAGCCUCUGGCCAGUGGCCAAAAAGGAACUGGGGCCUCCUGCCAAAACCAUGUGACUGAGUCUAGAAGCGGACCCUCCAGUCCCCAUGAAGCCAACAUCUUGACUGUGACCUCACAAGAAGCCCUGAGCCAGAGCCAAUAAACUAUGCACAUUUUAGCCUAUAAAAACUGAGAGAUAAUGAAAGUUUGUUAUUUUAAGACACAAUAUUUUAGAUAAUUUGUCACACAGCAGUAGUGGCUUUCAUCUAAUGCAGCAUAGAAACUAACACGGAGAGUCAAGCCACUCAAAGAAAGAAUAUGUUUCAAAGAAAGAACAAUAUAAACCGUAAGAAAAACACUUUAAUGAAAUGACAAUAAGUAAUUUUUCUGAUAAAAAAUUCAAAGUAAUGGUCAUAAGGAUGUUCAUGAGACUUGGGAGAAGAAUGAAUGAGCACAGUAGGAAAAGCACCAAACAGAAGUCACAGGGUGAAAAGUACAUACAAAACCUGAACCGAAAAAUAUGCUAGAGGGGUUCAACAGCAGAGCAGAUGAUGCAGAAGAAAGGAUGAGUGAACUAAAGGACAGGAUAGAGGAACUUAAUCCAGAAUAGCAAAAAGAAAAAAGAAUGAAAAACAGUGAAGAUAGCUUAAGGAACUUAUGCGACAACAUGUAGGGGGUUAAUAUUUGCAUUAUGGGAGUCCCAGAAGAAGAGAAAGAGAAAGGUGUAAAAAGCUUAUUUGAAGAUAUAAUGGCUAAAAACUCCCCUCGCAGGCAUGCAGGUCCAGGAAGCUGAGAGAGUUCUCAAACAGCUGAACCCAAAGAGACUCACACCAAGGUACAUCAUAAUUAAAGUGUCAAAAGGUAAAGAUAAGGAGUGAAUCUUAAAAGGAGCCAGAGAAAAACAAACUAUUACAUACAAAAGAAGUCCCCUAAGACUAUCAGCACAUUUUUCACCAGUAACUUUGUAGGCCAAAGGCAAGUGGCACAAUAUAUUCACAGUGCUGAAAAAAAAAGAAAACUCCUAAUCAAGAAUACUCUACCUGGAACAAUCAUCAUCCACAAUUGAAGAAGAGAGUUUUCCAGAAAAGCCAUUGCAUAAUGAUAAAGGGGUCAAUCCAACAAGAGGAUAUAACUUUUGUAAAUAUUUAUGCACCCAAUAUAGGAGCACCUAAAUAUACAAAGCAAAUAAUAAUAAUAGACAUAAAAGGAGAAAUGCACAGCAGUGCAGCAAUAGUAGGGGACUUUAAUACCCCCACUUACAUCAGUGGGUGGACCAUCCAGACAGAAUGUCAAUAAGGAAACAUUUGCCUUAAACAGCACAUUAUACCACAUGGACUUAACAGAUAUAUAUAGAACAUUCCAUCCAAAGACAACAGAAUACCCAUUAUUCUCAAUGCACAUGGAACAUUCUCAGAAUAGAUCAUACGUUUGGCCACAAAACAGGUCUUAACAAUUUAAAGUAGGGUUACAUAUAAAACAACUUUCCUACUGCAAUGGUUGAAACUAGAAAUCACUCACAAGAAGAAAACUGGAAAAUUCACAAGUAUGUAGAGAUUAAACAACAUGUUUCUGAACAACCAAUAGGUCAACAAAGAAAUCAAAAGAGAAAAAAAUAUCUUGAGAGAAGUGAAAAUGGAAAUACAAGUGUAGAUAAAGAACCAGGCUACCUCCUAGAACUAAGACUCCUUUGUUUUAGAAAUCUUGGUUGGUUUCAAUAACUGACUAUUUGGAAGGCUUUUUUUUUUCUUUUCUUGAGGUUCAAACUCCUGCUCUUAUGUUUUGAAUUCACCAAUAAAGAGCAAGUCCACAAAACCCUAUGUCCCCACUCUCAACCCUAAUAGAAUCAGUAACCCAGGCCUGUGUGCUCUCUCUUUCUACCUGUGACCUUGCUGUGUGGACCCAGGUUUGCAGUGUAGUUUCUGGGUCUCGUAAAUAAUAACGCUCUUGUUUUCAGUUUCUUGAUGGUUGUUGCUAAAGGGCAUCUUGCCAUCAAAAUAAGAACCACAAGGCUUCGUCCAGUUGUAACGUUGGUAUGGAAAGGGGAGACAUCUGGGAAGCUCACUUGGGCUCAGGUGCUGCCGCCAUGCAUAACUGAUAGCAGUACUCUCAAUGGGCUGAGAUUAAUAUAGACCAGUUGGCAUAGCUGGCCUGAGUGCAUGAUUGUCCUCACAAUUAGCCCAGGGAACACACUGUAGCUGCACCUGGCUUACUAAUUCAAGUGGUAACAUCACUGGGACAAGGAGAACCACUUGCUGGGGUCUGUCCUGCUGCUGUGCUUUCUCAGAUCACCUCUGUCAUGUUGUCUGCAGUAUUCCACCCACAUGUCCCAGCUCCCAUAAUGACCCAAUGGUCUCCCCAGAGUACUGAGAUCAAGGCCACCUGACCUACAGACACAACUACGUCACUAACUGUAAGGGUCUUAACUGUCUAUUAAUAUGCAUGAGGGCCCACUGUGCCUCCAGGCCAAGGAGAGCUAAGAAGAGUGGAUUGGAUCACGAGGCUAUUGUCACCCACCAAGGAGAGGCUGUGGACUAAAGGUGUGAGAAAAGAUUCUGCUAGACAAGAGAACAGGAGACCUCUGCCUGAGACCACUGAGUUGG